GACGGAGGAUGCAAGUGUUAUCCGGAAUCACUGGGCGUAAAGCGUCUGUAGGUGGUCAAAUAAGUCAACUGUUAAAUCUUGAGGCUCAACCUCAAAAUCGCAGUCGAAACUAUUAGACUAGAGUAUAGUAGGGGUAAAGGGAAUUUCCAGUGGAGCGGUGAAAUGCGUAGAGAUUGGAAAGAACACCGAUGGCGAAGGCAGGUCUCUGGGCAUUAACUGACGCUGAGGAGCGAAAGCAUGGGGAGCGAACAGG
This 253-nucleotide ribosomal RNA is filed under the name uncultured bacterium. Its description in RNAcentral is "partial 16S ribosomal RNA". It matches the Rfam family "Bacterial small subunit ribosomal RNA", at positions 524 to 776 of the family's 1533-position model. The record is from RNAcentral.